CCUACGGGAGGCAGCAGUGAGGAAUAUUGGUCAAUGGCCGGAAGGCUGAACCAGCCAAGCCGCGUGAAGGACGAAGGUGCCAAGCAUUGUAAACUUCUUUUGUCAAGGGACAAAAUCAGGCUCGAGAGCCUGACCGAGGGUACUUGAAGAAAAAGCAUCGGCUAACUCCGUGCCAGCAGACGCGGUAAUACGGAGGAUGCGAGCGUUAUCCGGUUGUAUUGGGUUUAGAGGGUGCGUAGGCGGACUGUUAAGUCAUCGGUAAAAGCCCGGGGCUCAACCCCGUCGAGCCGUUGAAACUGGCUGUCGUGCGAUGUCGAGAGGUAUGCGGAAUGCGCAGUGUAGCGGGGAAAUGCUGAGAGAUUGCGCAGAACUCCGAUUGAGAAGGCAGCAUACCGGCGGCGAUCUGACGCUGAGGCACGAAAGCGUGGGUAUCGAACAGGAUUAGAUACCCUUGUAGUC
This 459-nucleotide ribosomal RNA is filed under the name uncultured bacterium. RNAcentral describes it as "partial 16S ribosomal RNA". It matches the Rfam family "Bacterial small subunit ribosomal RNA", at positions 338 to 795 of the family's 1533-position model. The record is from RNAcentral.